CUGCACUUUGCUGAUGAAAACAUUCCUAAAGGAUGGAGUAAAGCUUACACAGUGGAAACCCACCAGAACUGUUGGGCAGAUGCAGACUGCAGUGAGGUACAGAGCCUACCUGGUAUCAUUGGGUGCAAGGCAGGACUACUCCCUGGACAAGCUAAUUACCCAAUCCACUCAUUAGGACUCCCCCUAUCACUAGUGAUGGCCCAACACCAGAAGGGUAAAGACUAGCAUUGCGUCGUCCGAUACAUGUUAAGUCAGCCACCACCUCUUUUCAAACUGCUGCUGACCCUUUGGGGAGAGAGCAUCAUCUACCCACACAGAAAGAGCAAGGCCAAUGGUGUUGUAUUGGGGGUCCAGUAGCUGAUGGCAAGCUACAUAAACAGGAUUUGAACCGG
This 392-nucleotide long non-coding RNA is filed under the name Astyanax mexicanus (Mexican tetra). RNAcentral's name for it is "lncRNA (ENSAMXG00005011959.1)". The record is from RNAcentral. Lineage: Eukaryota; Metazoa; Chordata; Actinopteri; Characiformes; Acestrorhamphidae.